GCUAGGUGCAGUAGCACAUGCCUGUAAUCCCAGCAAUUUGGGAAGCUGAGGCAGGAGGAUCACAGGUUGGAGGGCAACCUCAGCAACUUUGUGGGAUUCUGUCUCAA
Molecule: small RNA, 107 nt
Filed under: Marmota monax (woodchuck)
Lineage: Eukaryota; Metazoa; Chordata; Mammalia; Rodentia; Sciuridae
Source: RNAcentral